UGUGAAAAUGUGUCCCCAGUCUUUA
This 25-nucleotide non-coding RNA is filed under the name Rattus norvegicus (Norway rat). The record is from RNAcentral. Lineage: Eukaryota; Metazoa; Chordata; Mammalia; Rodentia; Muridae.